Long non-coding RNA from Asparagus officinalis (garden asparagus), 580 nucleotides. RefSeq lists it as uncharacterized. The record is from RefSeq and is a predicted model, not a curated record. Lineage: Eukaryota; Viridiplantae; Streptophyta; Magnoliopsida; Asparagales; Asparagaceae. The transcript is spliced from 4 exons.
UAAGGGCGGAUAAAUGCAAGUGAAAGUGUAGAAAGCACAUUUGCGAGUAGAGUUGGGUCGUGUAACACUAAUCCCUGUGAUUUCUCCGAACAGGCUACUGAAAUCACAGCCGUCCAUUUGUUAUAUCAACGUUCGUUGUCCUUGUUCAGUUCCUGUUCCAAAAACCCUGCCCGCAGAGAGGGGAGAUUUAGAGGGGCAAAAAAAGGAAAAAAAAAAAAAGAAAGAAAAAAAAAAGAAGAGAAAUAGAAGGGGAAAAAGGGGAAAAAAUGGAGGGAGGCGAAGAUGUUAGCAUCGAGGAGCUCGCCUCGAAUCUCUCAACCUACAAGGAUCAGCUUCAUCGGGCCCUUUCUCUUAUAAAGAUGCGGCCCUAUUGCGGCACAAAUAGCGGUAGGGGAGCUUACUGCUACGAUUUCAUUGAUUACGGUGAAGAAUAGCGCUCGUGAGCACUUUCCACUGGCCAUAGCGCUCGAAAGCGCGGAGUAGCGGUAAAUAGCGGUUAGAAAACUUUUGGUUGAUGAGCCGGGAAACUAGAGUAUGCAGACAUGGAAAAAGAGCUUGAAGAGGAAUGUGAACCGGUGUG